GGGUGCGAUCAUACUAACACUAAUGCACCGGAUCCCAUCAGAACUCCGCAGUUAAGCGUGCUUGGGCGAGAGUAGUAUUAGGAUAGGUGACCUCCUAGGAAGUCCUCGUGUUGCACCCC
This 119-nucleotide ribosomal RNA is filed under the name Gossypium arboreum. Lineage: Eukaryota; Viridiplantae; Streptophyta; Magnoliopsida; Malvales; Malvaceae. The record is from RNAcentral.